GUUCCUCAGCCUUACUCCAGGGGCUUUUAUUUUUCGUAAAGUGCCCUGGCAUUGCCUGAGGAUAAAUUGAAAAUAUGCUCCUUUCCCUCCCCAGCAAGAUUCUCUAUAUCCUCUGGGGCCUACAACUUGAGCAAACAUU
Small nucleolar RNA from Lonchura striata (white-rumped munia), 139 nucleotides. NCBI's taxonomy places the organism in Eukaryota, Metazoa, Chordata, Aves, Passeriformes, Estrildidae. The record is from Ensembl.